Molecule: ribosomal RNA, 304 nt
Filed under: uncultured bacterium
Lineage: Bacteria
Description: partial 16S ribosomal RNA
Rfam family: Bacterial small subunit ribosomal RNA
Source: RNAcentral
CAGCAGUAGCCGCGGUAAAACAGAGGGUGCGAGCGUUAAUCGGAUUUACUGGGCGUAAAGCGUGUGUAGGUUGUUGUUCAAGUCAGUUGUGAAAUCCCUGGGCUCAACCUGGGAACUGCUUCUGAGACUGAACGACUAGAGUACGGUAGAGGGUGGUGGAAUUUCCGGUGUAGCGGUGAAAUGCGUAGAUAUCGGAAGGAACAUCAAUGGCGAAGGCAGCCACCUGGGCCUGUACUGACACUGAGACACGAAAGCGUGGGGAUCAAACAGGAUUAGAUACCCCAGUAGUCCCUGUCUCUUAUAC